This 342-nucleotide RNase P RNA is filed under the name uncultured Clostridium sp. RNAcentral's name for it is "Bacterial RNase P class A". It matches the Rfam family "Bacterial RNase P class A". Rfam says of the family: Ribonuclease P (RNase P) is a ubiquitous endoribonuclease, found in archaea, bacteria and eukarya as well as chloroplasts and mitochondria. Its best characterised activity is the generation of mature 5'-ends of tRNAs by cleaving the 5'-leader elements of precursor-tRNAs. The record is from RNAcentral. Lineage: Bacteria; Bacillati; Bacillota; Clostridia; Eubacteriales; Clostridiaceae.
AGUAAGACAGAUGGUCGCGGCUGCAGAACCGAAAGGCUGCAGGUGAGGAAAGUCCGGGCUUCACAGGGCAGGAUGCCAGAUAACGUCUGGUGGAGGCGACUCCAAGGACAGUGCAACAGAAAUGUACCGCCCGGUUUACCGGGUAAGGGUGGAAGGGCAGUGUAAGAGACUACCGCCCGGCUGGUAACAGCCGGGGCACAUGUAAACCCCAUCCGAAGCAAGACCGAACAGAGAGCGCAAGGCGGCCCGUCUGCUCUCGGGUAGGUCGCUUGAGCCUGCUGGCGACAGCAGGACUAGAUAGAUGACCAUUCAACGACAUAACCCGGCUUACCGUUUUGCUCA